UGAACUCCUCGUGCUGCCUGGCCAGAGAGAAGCUGGGGUGUAUAAGUUGCUGGGAGGUGACAAAGCUGACAGAGACAGGUCACAAAGAUGUACCACUCCAUAUGGUGUGACAUUCAACAAUAAAACUGGGGGCACUGGAUAGGAGGGCUGCUUCUGUUCGGGAAUCGGUCAGCAAGUGAUCAGUGAUGCAAAAAUAAUGUCCACCACUGGAGAAGUGAGAUCUGGUAGUCCUGCAUUGUCUUCAAAGAAAAAGUGUCAGGCAGAAGCUCCAUCAGAAAAAUAGUCAGGUCAGACAUAACCACUCUCGUCACAUGUUUGGCUAAAAGGAGCUCCAAAGCUGAUGUUGUGAAAUAUCCUGCCUGCUUCUAAACUAUGCAAGCAUUAAA
Tympanuchus pallidicinctus (lesser prairie-chicken) is the source of this 386-nucleotide long non-coding RNA. RefSeq lists it as uncharacterized. Lineage: Eukaryota; Metazoa; Chordata; Aves; Galliformes; Phasianidae. The record is from RefSeq and is a predicted model, not a curated record. The transcript is spliced from 3 exons.